UACGAAGGGAGCUAGCGUUGUUCGGAAUCACUGGGCGUAAAGCGCACGUAGGCGGAUUUGCCAGUCAGGGGUGAAAUCCCGGGGCUCAACCUCGGAACUGCCUUUGAUACAGCAAGUCUUGAGUUCGAGAGAGGCGGGUGAAAUUCCUAGUGUAGAGGUGAAAUUCGUAGAUAUUAGGAAGAACACCGGUGGCGAAGGCGGCCCACUGGCUCGACACUGACGCUGAGGUGCGAAAGCCAGGGGAGCGAACGGG
Molecule: ribosomal RNA, 253 nt
Filed under: uncultured bacterium
Lineage: Bacteria
Description: partial 16S ribosomal RNA
Rfam family: Bacterial small subunit ribosomal RNA
Source: RNAcentral